RNAcentral lists this ribosomal RNA (92 nucleotides) under Vibrio parahaemolyticus. Lineage: Bacteria; Pseudomonadati; Pseudomonadota; Gammaproteobacteria; Vibrionales; Vibrionaceae. RNAcentral also lists the same sequence under 1 other name. The record is from RNAcentral.
CCACCUGAUCCCAUUCCGAACUCAGAAGUGAAACGAAAUAGCGCCGAUGGUAGUGUGGGGUUUCCCCAUGUGAGAGUAGGACAUCGCCAGGC